Molecule: long non-coding RNA, 494 nt
Filed under: Cyanistes caeruleus (blue tit)
Lineage: Eukaryota; Metazoa; Chordata; Aves; Passeriformes; Paridae
Description: lncRNA (ENSCCEG00000019477.1)
Source: RNAcentral
UUUGUAUCAGCAGUAGUGUGGCCAGCAGGACCAGGGCAGGGAUUGUCCCCCUGUACUCAGAACUACUGAGGCCACACCUCAAAUCCUGUGUUCAGUUCUGGGCCCCUCACUACAAGAAGGACACUGAAGUGCUGGAGAAGAGCAGUGAAGCUGGGGAAGGGUCUGGAGGUCUAAAGGAAAAUCAGUUUCAUUUUGAUUAAAUUCAGAAGCAUCCCAACAGCCUAUUCAGAUUGCCAGCAUAGGAACAUGCUGCAGGUGAUGGUCCAAAUUCCCUGCUGGCCUGAGGCAUUCCAGUUUCAUCAGCUUCAAGGAACUUGUGUGCCCAUCCAUCAUGCCUUCCUGAAGAAGCUGUUGUGAGUUAGUGACAGUAUUGAUCUACAGCAAACGCUUUACUCUGAAGUAGAUGCCUCUGUAGCUUGUUCAGCUCUGGGGCCACCUUAUUUCAACAGCACUCUGGUUACUUUGAAAUGUAACUCCACAUUUUUAAAACCAAA